GCUCAGGACGAACGCUGGCGGCGUGCUUAACACAUGCAAGUCGAACGGGAAACCUUUUAUUGAAGCUUCGGCAGAUUUAGCUGGUUUCUAGUGGCGGACGGGUGAGUAACGCGUGGGUAACCUGCCUUAUACAGGGGGAUAACAACCAGAAAUGGUUGCUAAUACCGCAUAAGCGCACAGGACCGCAUGGUCCGGUGUGAAAAACUCCGGUGGUAUAAGAUGGACCCGCGUUGGAUUAGCUAGUUGGCAGGGUAACGGCCUACCAAGGCGACGAUCCAUAGCCGGCCUGAGAGGGUGAACGGCCACAUUGGGACUGAGACACGGCCCAGACUCCUACGGGAGGCAGCAGUA
RNAcentral lists this ribosomal RNA (351 nucleotides) under uncultured bacterium. Its description in RNAcentral is "bacterial SSU rRNA". It matches the Rfam family "Bacterial small subunit ribosomal RNA", at positions 22 to 356 of the family's 1533-position model. The record is from RNAcentral.